UAAGAGGUCCCGCCUGCCCUGUGACUAUAUGUUUAACGGCCGCGGUAUUUUGACCGUGCAAAGGUAGCGCAAUCACUUGUCUUUUAAAUGGAGACCUGUAUGAAUGGCAUAACGAGGGCUUAACUGUCUCCUUUUUCAAGUCAAUGAAAUUGAUUUCCCCGUGCAGAAGCGGGGAUAAGACCAUAAGACGAGAAGACCCUAUGGAGCUUUAGACACCAAAGCAGAUCAUGUUAAACACCCCUAAAUAAAGGACCAAACCAGGUGAUUCCUGCCCUAAUGUCUUUGGUUGGGGCGACCGCGGGGAAACAAAAAACCCCCAUGUGGAAUGGGAACACCCUCUCCUAAAACUAAGAGCUCCCGCUCUAAUAGACAGAACUUCUGACCAAUCAGAUCCGGCAACGCCGAUCAACGGACCGAGUUACCCUAGGGAUAACAGCGCAAUCCUCUUUUAGAGCCCAUAUCGACAAGAGGGUUUACGACCUCGAUGUUGGAUCAGGACAUCCUAAUGGUGCAGCCGCUAUUAAGGGUUCGUUUGUUCAACG
This 542-nucleotide ribosomal RNA is filed under the name Oplegnathus woodwardi (knifejaw). RNAcentral's name for it is "partial 16S large subunit ribosomal RNA". It matches the Rfam family "Bacterial large subunit ribosomal RNA", at positions 1846 to 2586 of the family's 2925-position model. Lineage: Eukaryota; Metazoa; Chordata; Actinopteri; Centrarchiformes; Oplegnathidae. The record is from RNAcentral.